UUUUAAUAUUUCUUGCCUUUUUUUCUUUUUUUUUAAAUUCCAUCGGUAAACCCCCGUCAACUGUUAUGUUAUGUCCGGUUGGACACUCUCUAAAGAGCCUUUGAUUGUUUCACCUUAGGAGUUCUGGGAUGGAACUUGUUCUGAAUAGGAAUAAGUAAAAAGCAUCAUCUAACGGAUCCGAAUACAAGAAAUGCCAGAACAUUUUCAUUUCAAGAAGGGAUUCAUUGUGAAAUCUAACAUGCUUGGGAUUCAACAAACAGGUGUAUGCAUACACACACAAAAUAAUGUGUUGUUUGCACACAGUUGCACGCAAAUAAUAGAAUCGCUUGCCAGCUCUACCGUGAAGGUAAAUGACUACAAAUUAUGGUGCUUAGGAGGACCAAUCUAUUUAUGUGCCAAUCGAUGUCUCUUCUCAAGGAGUUCCUUCGGAUAAAAUUUUGAGGACUGCUUCUUUUGUGGGUAGCGAAGGAAUAGCUCCUUUCUGGGUAAUUGAUAUAGCACCACAGGCGUUGGCAAAGAGGAGAGCUUCCCUCAACUUCUUUUCAUCCUGUAAUGGAAAAUCAAAGUUUCUUAAGCAUGCAUUACAGAAUAUUAUAGUUUUCGAAGAAUGCAUAAUCACAAACAAUGAAUAUUUUAUGCAACUUUUGAAUAAGAGACAGAACAUCUGGUUUGGGCUAGCAAGAGUGAGGGAGGGGGAGUUCUUUUAUGUUACUCAUCCUGGCAAGAGUCUCAAGCAUAUGACUAUUUACUGCCUUUUUCCCUCUCUGACUUGGAAUGUCUCAAGCACUUUUAAGCAGCUUCAGAUCAAAAUAAUCCCAAUUUGAAUUAAUGAGAAACUUUUAAAGGAUACAAAUGGAUGGCGAAUGGACACAUGGAAUUGGACUAAUAUAGGACAUAACAGGUAUCAAAUCCAUUUGAAACAUGAAGAUUGGAUUUGGCAAAAGUAUUCAAUUCUCCGAGCAAGCAGAUCAAUGAACCCUUUUAACAUAGUUUUUUUCCCCUUUUACCUCAGACAUGUUCUAAAUCAUGCUCCAGGCUAAUAUGUAAAAAUCAUAUUUUAUACAAGUAAUUAUCAAAAGAAGCAGGACUAUUGCCUGCUUCAAUAUGAACAAUACCAAUCUGAUUAAGACAUAGCUGUGUAAUAUGUUCUCAACUGCCCCUUUACCCUUACCUUCAUAGUCUAUAACUCAACAAACAUCUGAGAAAUGCAGUUGUAGAAGUAAUCUGAUCAGUGAUGUAAUUGUUUUCUGCUCUGAUCAGUCAGGCAAUUUGUUUUCUGCAUGUUGGAUGCAAGUAUGCUAAACCUAAUUUAAGGGACCAGUUAUGCUAUUUUUCUACAGUUUGAGUAAUACUAGUAUCUAUAUACCAUUUGAACAAGUUCUAAUUGCACUGAUGCAAUAUUUAUGAUGGUGAAGGUCUUCUUUGCUUAACUGUAUCAAUAUACCCAUACCAGAAAUAGAAAGAAACAAAACCAUUGUCGUUGAAUUACUUAGAUGCAAUGUCAAGCUUUAUUCUACCUUAUACAAAUUUAAGUCUGAGGCCAAUUUAUUCAGUAUCCCACCCACAAAGGCAUCACCUGCACCAGUUGUAUCAAUCGCAUCAACUUUUAUACCAGUGACUUUACCCUUGAAUGCCUACAUUCACCCUACAAUGAGAUGUUAAAGAAGAAUAGAAACCGGUAUGUUUUCCAAUUGAAACAAUGUAAGACAUCAAACAAAGAAAGCUUGCUCUCAUUUUAGUCUCAUGAAGCAAAUAAAAGCUGUUAAAAGCUUAGGGAAGUAAUUUGAAUGCUUAAAAAUACUUCUGGACCAAAGAAAACCCUAAAUCAACUUUAAUCUUGACAUCUGAAACCUGGAUGCUAGCCUUUGUAUACUAUCGGCAUCCCUCUGAGCCUUCAGUGACAAGCAAGAGCUUAAGAUUGGGAUGGAAAAACUUUUCCAAUACUACGUUAUCAUCAAAUGGAUCAUCACCUUCGGUCAAGAAUUCAAAUUCUUCCUCACUUAUCUCAAUAAUGUCAGCUUGGUUCCAUAUGCUCAUGAUGCCGUUGCGAGCAGCUUCUGCAGAUGGCCAUAGUGGCAAUCUCAAAUUUGGGUCAUAUGAGAGGAUACAACCAGCAUUCUUGGCAAUGUCCAUGGCAGCUAGAUGAGCUGACUUACAAGGUUCAUUAAUCAAACCAAUUGAUCCAUAGUGAAAUAUACUUGCCUUCUUUAUUAGAUUUUUAUCAAGCUCUGUUUCACAGAGAAGCAUAUCAGCACUAGGAUUACAGUAAAACAUGAAUUCACGUUCACCAUCAGCUCUCAAUGUCACAAAUGCCAGUGCAGUCCUUGCAUGGGAAUCAAAUCGAUGCCAGAAUUAUCAACGUUGUUUUGCUUUAGAAUAUCAGCCAGCAUGUAUCCAAAUUCAUCAUCUCCUACCUUGCCAAUAAAAGCUGAAUGCCCUCCUAAUCUUGCUAUCCCAACAGCAACAUUAGCAGGUGCUCCGCCUGGAGCUUUCUUAAAACCAGGUGCUUCUGCAAGUGAAACUGCAGCAGCAUUUGGCACAACGUCGAUUAAAAUCUCCCCAAAGCAGACAACUGGUGGACUCUCCUCCUGGAGGACCUGGAAUGAUUCCUUUGCCCUUGUACUGGGAUUUCUGGAUGCCUCUAUACAGGAACUCUAAGAUUAACAUAAAAUAGCAUCCAAAACAUUCCAUAAUAUCAAUAUCAAAAGAAAUUUAAUAUGGUUAAUGGUUGUCUGUCAUUUACAAUACUCAGGAGAACGGACACAGGUUCUUUGAAUGGUAAAGUAUAACAGAGUAUAAACCCUGGGAGAGUCAAAAUGUGCGGGAAAGAACAGAAUAUAGUCAAUGCAGUGAACAAGACUGACUAAAACAAAUAAUUAUCUCGAAAAUGCUAUCAUUGGACCAGAUAAAAAGAGGAAAAUAUUUGCUUUGAACACAAAAUGUUAGCCCACCACAACUGAAACUCAACAAAAGUACAUAAUGCAGAUUGAGAAUUUUCUCUUCAAGAAUGCCACAUUGAGCCCAAAAUUCAAAGAGGACAUGAAUCCUACAACAUAGAACAAUACCCACUUCAACGAUACAUAAGUGGCGAAAGAUGCAACAAACAAAUAACACUUGAGAAGACAAUUAAACCAAAGAAUCAGAGCAAUUUUUUUUUUUCAAGAAUGCUUCUCGUUGCUAAGAACAAAAAAAACACCAACCAUAAAUUCUCUCAACUACUCUUUAAGAUUGCAAGAUAUAGCCCCAGAAUAAAAAAUGUAAAAGAAAUAAAUUCAAAAGACGAAUGCAUAUACCCUUAGAGCGACUCUCAGACAACUUAUUGGAGGAAGAACUCCCAAGGGAGCGCUCAAGCUUAACGGAAAAGCAACAACCUACCAUCUUCAGCUCUUCCUUGCUGUAUAGAACAUAAAAUUGAAUAUGAAAGUCCAUUUCUUCAUCAAUGCUUCCAUUGUAUAAGCUGUAAACGGAAAGUACCGACAUCUUUGCUCCUUGUUUGACAUCUUUUGCUUAGUCCACUUCAAUUUUCUACUAACGUUCUCCGUUCUGUUUUUCCUCUGAAACCUACUCCCUUGGAAACUCAAAUUAUCUUGUAGGUGGGUUUUGACUUGUUAAUCUCAGGGCCUCCUCCAGAUUAG
Molecule: unclassified non-coding RNA, 3635 nt
Filed under: Hevea brasiliensis (rubber tree)
Lineage: Eukaryota; Viridiplantae; Streptophyta; Magnoliopsida; Malpighiales; Euphorbiaceae
Source: RNAcentral